UACGGGGGGGGCAAGCGUUGUUCGGAAUUAUUGGGCGUAAAGGGCGCGUAGGCGGCUUUUCAAGUGACGGGUGAAAUCCCUCGGCUUAACCGAGGAACUGCCUGUCAGACUGGAAGGCUUGAGACCGGGAGAGGUGAGUGGAAUUCCCAGUGUAGCGGUGAAAUGCGUAGAUAUUGGGAGGAACACCAGUGGCGAAGGCGGCUCACUGGACCGGAACUGACGCUGAGGCGCGAAAGCUAGGGGAGCAAACAGG
RNAcentral lists this ribosomal RNA (253 nucleotides) under uncultured bacterium. Its description in RNAcentral is "partial 16S ribosomal RNA". It matches the Rfam family "Bacterial small subunit ribosomal RNA", at positions 524 to 776 of the family's 1533-position model. The record is from RNAcentral.